Molecule: non-coding RNA, 217 nt
Organism: Oryctolagus cuniculus (rabbit)
Lineage: Eukaryota; Metazoa; Chordata; Mammalia; Lagomorpha; Leporidae
Source: RefSeq, a predicted model, not a curated record
CUCGGCUUUCCCCGGAGCUGCACCUGCGGCGGGAGGCUGUUUGGCUUGGGCCCCAGCUGGGGGAGCUGGUCUAUCUUGAUGGGACAAAGACAUAAGCCUCGGCCACUCUCGCUCAUUGCCCAAAAGAGAGAGACCUUCACCUCCUAGUCUGAGAGCGGCAGAGCCGGCGUUUCCAGCAAGGUGCGCUUCGUCUACAUGGAUCCAGCUUCUUCGGAGG